This 502-nucleotide ribosomal RNA is filed under the name uncultured eukaryote. Its description in RNAcentral is "eukaryotic LSU rRNA". It matches the Rfam family "Eukaryotic large subunit ribosomal RNA", at positions 1392 to 1893 of the family's 3401-position model. The record is from RNAcentral.
UAGGCGUCUUGUCGAAGCUUUGAGCGUGAGCCUGAGUAGAAAGGCGUCUAGUGCAGAUCUUGGUGGUAGUAGCAAUUAUUCAAAUGAGAACUUUGAAGGCCGAAGUGGAGAAGGUUUCCAUGAGAACAGCAAUUGGUCAUGGGUGACUCGGUCCUAAGAUAUUGGUAAACACCUUGCAAAUGAGCUUCGGCUCGCGAUCGAAGAAGGGAAAAUGAGGUUAAUAUUCCUCAAGCUGGCUAUGGAUGUCACGGUAACGUUUGUGAGCUCGGUGACACCAGCGCGUGCCUCUGAAAGAGUUAUCUUUUCUUUCCUAACAGUCAAGCGACCCUGAAAUCGGAUUAUCCGGAGAUGAGGGUUGUAAGGCUGGAAUAGUGUAUGUUUCUUGAUACAAAUUAGAUGCGCUCGCGAUGGUCCUUGAAACCCGAGUGAGGUAAUUAUUCCAUACCAGGCCGUACCAAUAACCGCAUCAGGUCUCCAAGGUUAGCAGCCUCUGGUCGAUUAG